This 466-nucleotide ribosomal RNA is filed under the name uncultured Desulfobulbus sp. RNAcentral's name for it is "bacterial SSU rRNA". It matches the Rfam family "Bacterial small subunit ribosomal RNA", at positions 921 to 1382 of the family's 1533-position model. Lineage: Bacteria; Pseudomonadati; Thermodesulfobacteriota; Desulfobulbia; Desulfobulbales; Desulfobulbaceae. The record is from RNAcentral.
CCGCACAAGCGGUGGAGUAUGUGGUUUAAUUCGAUGCAACGCGAAGAACCUUACCUGGUCUUGACAUCCCGGAGACCCUUAGGAAACUAGGGGGUGCUUCCAUCUGGAAGAAUCUGGAGACAGGUGCUGCAUGGCUGUCGUCAGCUCGUGUCGUGAGAUGUUGGGUUAAGUCCCGCAACGAGCGCAACCCUUGCCUUUAGUUGCCAGCAGUUCGGCUGGGCACUCUAAAGGGACUGCCGGUGUUAAACCGGAGGAAGUGGGGAUGACGUCAAGUCCUCAUGGCCUUUAUGACCAGGGCUACACACGUACUACAAUGGCCGAUACAAAGGGCAGCGACACUGCGAGGUGAAGCCAAUCCCGUAAAAUCGGUCUCAGUCCGGAUUGGAGUCUGCAACUCGACUCCAUGAAGUUGGAAUCGCUAGUAAUCGUGGAUCAGCAUGCCACGGUGAAUACGUUCCCGGGCCUU